Molecule: transfer-messenger RNA, 153 nt
Filed under: Truepera sp.
Lineage: Bacteria; Thermotogati; Deinococcota; Deinococci; Trueperales; Trueperaceae
Rfam family: transfer-messenger RNA
About the family: Bacterial tmRNA, also known as 10Sa RNA or SsrA, is named for its dual tRNA and mRNA-like properties. Its role is to liberate the mRNA from a stalled ribosome.
Source: Rfam by way of RNAcentral
GUCGGCCUGCGGCGAAGUUAAAGGCGCUUAGGUGACGCGCAGAAGCCUGUCGUUGGGCGCGCGUGCCACCGAAACUAAAAUGCAGCGACUACACGCGUAGAAGCCGGUCUAGAGGAGCUUCGGACGCGGGUUCGACUCCCGCCGCCUCCACCA